Long non-coding RNA from Syngnathus typhle (broad-nosed pipefish), 1366 nucleotides. RefSeq lists it as uncharacterized. Lineage: Eukaryota; Metazoa; Chordata; Actinopteri; Syngnathiformes; Syngnathidae. The transcript is spliced from 7 exons. The record is from RefSeq and is a predicted model, not a curated record.
CAAGAUGUAGUUUGGAGCACAACAGCGCCCCUAGAGGCCUGUCUUGGUCACAAGAGGGACAAGGCGUUUCGAGGCAAGGCUCAGCGGACCAAAUUAAGCAACCCGCAUGCAACCGGACUGCGCAACUCGGCCGGCGACUAAGAGGAUUAGACGGCAUUGACGUCGCCAGCGGGAUGCGCGGCAACGGGUCAGCGUGCGCUACGUUAGCGGAGGAAAGUUGCCAGCGAUCCAAAUCAAAAAUAAGACAAGCUGGAGCUGCCGUGUUAUGACCUUGUUCUGCUCUGAUUUGCUUGGACCGGGGCAAAGUCCUAUCACCACCAUGUGAGGUGAGAUGCUUCCUCAUGAUGGCAGCAUGCUGUGGACCAUCGUUUCACUGUCUUUUAAAGGAAUACUGUGCACCUGCAGGUUUCUUUGGAUUUGUCCUUACAAUGCUAUCCAGUUCCUGCCAAGGGAAAAACGCACAGCGGGAAAAAGCUUUCCCCAAAAACUACCGACAGGUUGCGAAAACAAAAUGGCCGCCGCCGCCAUACCGGGCUCCCCGAACCGCACGGCAGAACUCCAAAAAAGGCUGAGCAAAACCGAACAGGACAUCCUGUCGCUUAGAACCAGAAUUGCGUGCGAAAGAGCAUCGUGGGAAAGGAAAUUUGCGGAGCUGCAAAGAAAACAGGAGGCGCUUUGCAAUCAGAUCAUCUUUGAGGCGGAGCAAAAAGUGGACAACGGAGACAUUUUCGGAGAGUACUCAAGCAAAGGCAAGUAACUGGCUCAAUUUUGGGGGGAAAUGGGGCAGAGGUCACGCAGACGACUCACCAUGGUAGCCAUCCUUUCCAAUUAGAGCUCACCGAGUCUCGCUGUGAUCUUUCAUCUGGAGGAAGCCUGUCGUCGUCGUCGUCGUCCUUGUCUCCCACACCGCGCCCCACAUCAGCCUGGUCUUGCUCUUCAGCAUCCAGUGUUCAAUCAGGACUCUCUCUGGGGCCACACCGAGUCUUCGUACCGCACUCCCCCUUGGACCUGCACUUGGGCCACCGGGUCCGAAUCAUGCUGCCUUGCGGCCGAAUCAGCACGGGCACCAUCCGUUUCCUGGGCCACCUGCAGGGGGAGUCGGAGCUCCAUCUCGGGGUGGAGCUGCAGGCUCCCGACCACGGCGUGCGCGACGGCCACCACAAGGGACGCUGCUACUUUGACUGCAAACCUGGCUACGGUGCCUUUGUGCCCUUUCACAAGCUCCUGAUGGCCUGGGAAUGAGGCAGGCGCUGACAUGACAGCACUCAACUUGACACAUUUAUCCAAAACAAUCAUCCCUGUCAAGUCCUCUGAGAGCCAUAGUAAAUGCAUGAAAAAGAAAAAAAAUGCUAGGAUGCUACAUUAA